UACGAAGGGGGCUAGCGUUGUUCGGAAUUACUGGGCGUAAAGCGCGCGCAGGCGGUUUUUCAAGUCAGUGGUGAAAGCCCGGAGCUCAACUCCGGAAAUGCCAUUGAAACUGUUAAACUUGAGGAUGAGAGAGGUGAGUGGAAUUCCCAGUGUAGAGGUGAAAUUCGUAGAUAUUGGGAAGAACACCGGUGGCGAAGGCGGCGAGCUGGUCCAUUACUGACGCUGAGGCGCGACAGCGUGGGGAGCAAACAGG
Molecule: ribosomal RNA, 253 nt
Filed under: uncultured bacterium
Lineage: Bacteria
Description: partial 16S ribosomal RNA
Rfam family: Bacterial small subunit ribosomal RNA
Source: RNAcentral